AGACUUUUAAUUAAAGAUUUUGUCAUAACCAUUGUCACUUAAUUGACUUAUGGAUAAUAAAUUAUACAUUAAUCCAUAAAUUAAUAAAAUUAGUAAUAGAACGGAGAGAACCAUUACCAACUGUUCCGAAACCUAUAAUCUUCUCUUUUUUAUUACCUCUGAAACCCAGGAAGCCACUAGGCUUAAGUUCCAGGUCUUGGAACAUAUGACUUCUUCUUGUCAUGUGUCG
This 229-nucleotide long non-coding RNA is filed under the name Lathyrus oleraceus (garden pea). Its description in RNAcentral is "Pisum sativum (pea) long non-coding RNA (PSAT_LNC005386)". Lineage: Eukaryota; Viridiplantae; Streptophyta; Magnoliopsida; Fabales; Fabaceae. The record is from RNAcentral.